GAACCGACUAAUGUUGAAAAAUUAGCGGAUGACUUGUGGCUGGGGGUGAAAGGCCAAUUAAACCGGGAGAUAGCUGGUUCUCCCCGAAAGCUAUUUAGGUAGCGCCUCGUGAACUCAUCUUCGGGGGUAGAGCACUGUUUCGGCUAGGGGGUCAUCCCGACUUACCAACCCGAUGCAAACUACGAAUACCGAAGAAUGUUAUCACGGGAGACACACGGCGGGUGCUAACGUCCGUCGUGAAGAGGGAAACAACCCAGACCGCCAGCUAAGGUCCCAAAGUCAUGGUUAAGUGGGAAACGAUGUGGGAAGGCACAGACAGCCAGGAUGUUGGCUUAGAAGCAGCCAUCAUUUAAAGAAAGCGUAAUAGCUCACUGGUCGAGUCGGCCUGCGCGGAAGAUGUAACGGGGCUAAACCAUGCACCGAAGCUGCGGCAGCGACACUAUGUGUUGUUGGGUAGGGGAGCGUUCUGUAAGCCUGCGAAGGUGUGCUGUGAGGCAUGCUGGAGGUAUCAGAAGUGCGAAUGCUGACAUAAGUAACGAUAAAGCGGGUGAAAAGCCCGCUCGCCGGAAGAUCAAGGGUUCCUGUCCACCGUUAAUC
This 597-nucleotide ribosomal RNA is filed under the name Flammeovirga agarivorans. RNAcentral describes it as "Flammeovirga sp. SR4 partial 23S ribosomal RNA". It matches the Rfam family "Bacterial large subunit ribosomal RNA", at positions 776 to 1370 of the family's 2925-position model. Lineage: Bacteria; Pseudomonadati; Bacteroidota; Cytophagia; Cytophagales; Flammeovirgaceae. The record is from RNAcentral.